This 543-nucleotide ribosomal RNA is filed under the name uncultured bacterium. RNAcentral's name for it is "bacterial SSU rRNA". It matches the Rfam family "Bacterial small subunit ribosomal RNA", at positions 960 to 1509 of the family's 1533-position model. The record is from RNAcentral.
CGCGAAAACCUUACCACCUUUGACAUGGCAGGAACUUACCAGAGAUGGUUUGGUGCUCGAAAGAGAACCUGCACACAGGUGCUGCAUGGCUGUCGUCAGCUCGUGUCGUGAGAUGUUGGGUUAAGUCCCGCAACGAGCGCAACCCUUGCCAUUAGUUGCUACGAAAGGGCACUCUAAUGGGACUGCCGGUGACAAACCGGAGGAAGGUGGGGAUGACGUCAAGUCCUCAUGGCCCUUAUAGGUGGGGCUACACACGUCAUACAAUGGCUGGUACAAAGGGUCGCCAACCCGCGAGGGGGAGCCAAUCCCAUAAAGCCAGUCGUAGUCCGGAUCGCAGUCUGCAACUCGACUGCGUGAAGUCGGAAUCGCUAGUAAUCGUGGAUCAGAAUGUCACGGUGAAUACGUUCCCGGGUCUUGUACACACCGCCCGUCACACCAUGGGAGCGGGUCUCGCCAGAAGUAGGUAGCCUAACCGCAAGGAGGGCGCUUACCACGGCGGGGUUCGUGACUGGGGUGAAGUCGUAACAAGGUAAGCGUAGUGCU